GUCGCGGUGGCUGAGUGGUUAAGCGCAAGGCUUCCGAACCUGGGGUCCUGGGUUCGAAUCUCAGUGAAGACU
Biomphalaria glabrata is the source of this 72-nucleotide non-coding RNA. NCBI's taxonomy places the organism in Eukaryota, Metazoa, Mollusca, Gastropoda, Planorbidae. The record is from Rfam.